Molecule: long non-coding RNA, 178 nt
Organism: Melanotaenia boesemani (Boeseman's rainbowfish)
Lineage: Eukaryota; Metazoa; Chordata; Actinopteri; Atheriniformes; Melanotaeniidae
Exons: 3
Source: RefSeq, a predicted model, not a curated record
GACCAAGACUUCCUGAUUCUGCCUGCCUCCUCCCUGUCUGCCUUUUUCCACCAACCUGGUCUCAGCCCUUCUCACUACACCACAGCCGCAGUGGACCAUUUACUACCCUCCCGGUUCAGCGACCCCCUGCGUCCUCCAUUUCUUCUGCCGGCUAGUGGGCGACGUGACCAGACCCGGA